GCAGUCGUAACAAGGUGAGCCCUUCGGGGUACACGAGCGGCGAACGGGUGAGUAACACGUGAGCAACCUGCCCCUGACUCUGGGAUAAGCGGUGGAAACGCCGUCUAAUACCGGAUACGACCUUCCGCCUCAUGGUGGAGGGUGGAAAGUUUUUUCGGUCAGGGAUGGGCUCGCGGCCUAUCAGCUUGUUGGUGGGGUAACGGCCUACCAAGGCGAUUACGGGUAGCCGGCCUGAGAGGGCGACCGGCCACACUGGGACUGAGACACGGCCCAGACUCCUGCGGGAGGCAGCAGUGGGGAAUAUUGCGCAAUGGGCGAAAGCCUGACGCAGCGACGCCGCGUGGGGGAUGACGGCCUUCGGGUUGUAAACCUCUUUUACCACCAACGCAGGCUCCGGGUUCUCUCGGGGUUGACGGUAGGUGGGGAAUAAGGACCGGCUAACUACGUGCCAGCAGCCGCGGUAAUACGUAGGGUCCGAGCGUUGUCCGGAAUUAUUGGGCGUAAAGAGCUCGUAGGCGGCGUGUCGCGUCUGCUGUGAAAGACCGGGGCUUAACUCCGGUUCUGCAGUGGAUACGGGCAUGCUAGAGGUAGGUAGGGGAGACUGGAAUUCCUGGUGUAGCGGUGAAAUGCGCAGAUAUCAGGAGGAACACCGGUGGCGAAGGCGGGUCUCUGGGCCUUACCUGACGCUGAGGAGCGAAAGCAUGGGGAGCGAACAGGAUUAGAUACCCUGGUAGUCCAUGCCGUAAACGUUGGGCGCUAGGUGUGGGGACUUUCCACGGUUUCCGCGCCGUAGCUAACGCAUUAAGCGCCCCGCCUGGGGAGUACGGCCGCAAGGCUAAAACUCAAAGGAAUUGACGGGGGCCCGCACAAGCGGCGGAGCAUGUUGCUUAAUUCGACGCAACGCGAAGAACCUUACCAACGUUUGACAUC
This 930-nucleotide ribosomal RNA is filed under the name Nocardiopsis alba. RNAcentral's name for it is "bacterial SSU rRNA". It matches the Rfam family "Bacterial small subunit ribosomal RNA", at positions 57 to 988 of the family's 1533-position model. The record is from RNAcentral. Lineage: Bacteria; Bacillati; Actinomycetota; Actinomycetes; Streptosporangiales; Nocardiopsidaceae.